This 70-nucleotide transfer RNA is filed under the name Panthera pardus (leopard). Its description in RNAcentral is "tRNA-Thr". Lineage: Eukaryota; Metazoa; Chordata; Mammalia; Carnivora; Felidae. The record is from RNAcentral.
GUCUUCGUAGUAUAUAAAAUACCYUGGUCUUGUAAACCAAAAAAGGAGAACAUGUGCCCUCCCUAAGACU